GAUGAACGCUGGCGGCGUGCCUAACACAUGCAAGUCGAGCGAUUUACUUCGGUAAAGAGCGGCGGACGGGUGAGUAACGCGUGGGUAACCUGCCCUGUACACACGGAUAACAUACCGAAAGGUAUGCUAAUACGAGAUAAAAUACUUUUAUCGCAUGGUAGAAGUAUCAAAGCUUUUGCGGUACAGGAUGGACCCGCGUCUGAUUAGCUAGUUGGUAAGGUAACGGCUUACCAAGGCGACGAUCAGUAGCCGACCUGAGAGGGUGAUCGGCCACAUUGGAACUGAGACACGGUCCAAACUCCUACGGGAGGCAGCAGUGGGGAAUAUUGCACAAUGGGCGAAAGCCUGAUGCAGCAACGCCGCGUGAGCGAUGAAGGCCUUCGGGUCGUAAAGCUCUGUCCUCAAGGAAGAUAAUGACGGUACUUGAGGAGGAAGCCCCGGCUAACUACGUGC
RNAcentral lists this ribosomal RNA (453 nucleotides) under uncultured bacterium. Its description in RNAcentral is "bacterial SSU rRNA". It matches the Rfam family "Bacterial small subunit ribosomal RNA", at positions 28 to 508 of the family's 1533-position model. The record is from RNAcentral.